This 497-nucleotide ribosomal RNA is filed under the name uncultured bacterium. RNAcentral's name for it is "partial 16S ribosomal RNA". It matches the Rfam family "Bacterial small subunit ribosomal RNA", at positions 28 to 507 of the family's 1533-position model. The record is from RNAcentral.
GAUGAACGCUGGCGGCGUGCCUAAUACAUGCAAGUCGAGCGAACAGACGAGGAGCUUGCUCCUCUGACGUUAGCGGCGGACGGGUGAGUAACACGUGGAUACCCUACCUAUAAGACUGGUAUAACUUCGGGAAACCGGAGCUAAUACCGUAUAAUAUAUUGAACCGCAUGGUUCAAUAGUGAAAGACGGUUUUGCUGUCACUUAUAGAUGGAUCCGCGCCGCAUUAGCUAGUUGGUAAGGUAACGGCUUACCAAGGCAACGAUGCGUAGCCGACCUGAGAGGGUGAUAGGCCACACUGGAACUGAGACACGGUCCAGACUCCUAAGGGAGGCAGCAGUAGGGAAUCUUCCGCAAUGGGCGAAAGCCUGACGGAGCAACGCCGCGUGAGUGAUGAAGGUCUUCGGAUCGUAAAACUCUGUUAUUAGGGAAGAACAAAUGUGUAAGUAACUAUGCACGUCUUGACGGUACCUAAUCAGAAAGCCACGGCUAACUACGUG